AUUUUCCGGUUGAUCCUGCCGGACCCCACUGCUAUCGGGAUAGGACUAAGACAUGCUAGUCGAGUGAUUCAGGCAAAACGAGUCACGGCACACAGCUCAGUAACACGUGGCUAAUCUGCCCUUAGGACGAGAACAACCCCGGGAAACUGGGGCUAAUUCUCGAUAGGCGAAGAACUCUGGAAUGAGUCUUUACCUAAAUAGUGCAACGUUAUCCUCGUUGCAUCGCCUAAGGAUGAGGCCGCGACCGAUCAGGUUGUUGGCGAGGUAAUGGCUCACCAAGCCUUUUACCGGUGCGGGCCGUGAGAGCGGGAGCCCGGAGAUGGGCACUGAGACAAGGGCCCAGGCCCUACGGGGCGCAGCAGUCGCGAAAACUUUGCAAUAAGCGAAAGCUUGACAGGGCUAUCCCGAGUGCCAUCCGCUGAGGAAGGCUUUUACCCAGUCUAGAACGCUGGGGGAAUAAGGAGAGGGCAAGUCUGGUGUCAGCCGCCGCGGUAAUACCAGCUCUCCGAGUGGUGUGGAUGUUUAUUGGGCCUAAAGCAUCCGUAGCUGGCUAGGUCAGUCCCUUGUUAAAUCCACCGAAUUAAUCGUUGGAUUGCGGGGGAUACUGCUUGGCUAGGGGACGAGAGAGGCAGACGGUAUUUUCGGGGUAGGGGUGAAAUCCUAUAAUCCCGGGAAGACCACCAGUGGCGAAGGCUGUCUGCUAGAACGCGCCCGACGGUGAGGGAUGAAAGCUGGGGGAGCGAACCGGAUUAGAUACCCGGGUAGUCCCAGCUGUAAACGAUGCAGACUAGGUGUUUGGACGGCCACGUGCCGUUCUAGUGCCGCAGGGAAGCUGUUAAGUCUGCCGCCUGGGGAGUACGAUCGCAAGAUUGAAACUUAAGGAAUUGGCGGGGGAGCACCACAAGGGUGAGCUUGCGUUUAAUUGGAGUCAACGCCGGAAU
Molecule: ribosomal RNA, 941 nt
Filed under: uncultured archaeon
Lineage: Archaea
Description: bacterial SSU rRNA
Rfam family: Archaeal small subunit ribosomal RNA
Source: RNAcentral